This 537-nucleotide ribosomal RNA is filed under the name uncultured archaeon. RNAcentral describes it as "bacterial SSU rRNA". It matches the Rfam family "Bacterial small subunit ribosomal RNA", at positions 509 to 1050 of the family's 1533-position model. The record is from RNAcentral.
CAGCCGCCGCGGUAAUACAUAGGGGGCAAGCGUUAUCCGGAAUUAUUGGGCGUAAAGCGUGCGUAGGCGGUUUAUUAAGUCUGACGUGAAAGACCACGGCUUAACUGUGGAGGGUCGUUGGAAACUGGUAAACUUGAGUACGGUAGAGGUAAGUGGAAUUCCAAGUGGAGCGGUGGAAUGCGUAGAGAUUUGGAGGAACACCAGUGGCGAAGGCGGCUUACUGGGCCGGAACUGACGCUGAUGCACGAAAGCGUGGGGAGCAAACAGGAUUAGAUACCCUGGUAGUCCACGCCGUAAACGAUGAGCACUAAGUGUCGGAUGCAAAUUCGGCGCUGCAGUUAACACAAUAAGUGCUCCGCCUGGGGAGUACGGUCGCAAGACUGAAACUCAAAGGAAUUGACGGGGACUCGCACAAGCGGUGGAGCAUGCGGUUUAAUUCGAUGCAACGCGAAGAACCUUACCAGGUCUUGACAUCCCGCUGACAGCCCUAGAGAUAGGGUCUUCCUUCGGGACAGCGGAGACAGGUGGUGCAUGGCC